This 466-nucleotide ribosomal RNA is filed under the name Vreelandella stevensii. Its description in RNAcentral is "partial 16S ribosomal RNA". It matches the Rfam family "Bacterial small subunit ribosomal RNA", at positions 338 to 795 of the family's 1533-position model. The record is from RNAcentral. Lineage: Bacteria; Pseudomonadati; Pseudomonadota; Gammaproteobacteria; Oceanospirillales; Halomonadaceae.
CCUACGGGGUGCAGCAGUGGGGAAUAUUGGACAAUGGGCGAAAGCCUGAUCCAGCCAUGCCGCGUGUGUGAAGAAGGCCUUCGGGUUGUAAAGCACUUUCAGUGGGGAAGAAAGCCUUGGGGCUAAUACCCUCGAGGAAGGACAUCACCCACAGAAGAAGCACCGGCUGAACUCCGUGCCAGCAGCCGCGGUAAUACGGAGGGUGCGAGCGUUAAUCGGAAUUACUGGGCGUAAAGCGCGCGUAGGCGGUCUGAUAAGCCGGUUGUGAAAGCCCCGGGCUCAACCUGGGAACGGCAUCCGGAACUGUCAGGCUAGAGUGCAGGAGAGGAAGGUAGAAUUCCCGGUGUAGCGGUGAAAUGCGUAGAGAUCGGGAGGAAUACCAGUGGCGAAGGCGGCCUUCUGGACUGACACUGACGCUGAGGUGCGAAAGCGUGGGUAGCAAACAGGAUUAGAUACCCUGGUAGUC